UGACUUCCCAACUGUGCCAUUCCUGC
RNAcentral lists this non-coding RNA (26 nucleotides) under Mus musculus (house mouse). The record is from RNAcentral. Lineage: Eukaryota; Metazoa; Chordata; Mammalia; Rodentia; Muridae.